UACGGAGGGUGCGAGCGUUGUCCGGAAUCACUGGGCGUAAAGGGCGCGUAGGCGGCCUGAUAAGUAGGGGGUGAAAUCCUGCGGCUUAACCGCAGGGCUGCCUUCUAAACUGUCAGGCUCGAGCACAGUAGAGGCAGGUGGAAUUCCCGGUGUAGCGGUGGAAUGCGUAGAGAUCGGGAAGAACAUCAGUGGCGAAGGCGGCCUGCUGGGCUGUUGCUGACGCUGAGGCGCGAAAGCGUGGGUAGCAAACGGG
This 253-nucleotide ribosomal RNA is filed under the name uncultured bacterium. RNAcentral's name for it is "partial 16S ribosomal RNA". It matches the Rfam family "Bacterial small subunit ribosomal RNA", at positions 524 to 776 of the family's 1533-position model. The record is from RNAcentral.